This 497-nucleotide ribosomal RNA is filed under the name uncultured bacterium. RNAcentral's name for it is "partial 16S ribosomal RNA". It matches the Rfam family "Bacterial small subunit ribosomal RNA", at positions 28 to 507 of the family's 1533-position model. The record is from RNAcentral.
GAUGAACGCUGGCGGCGUGCCUAAUACAUGCAAGUCGAGCGAACGGACGAGAAGCUUGCUUCUCUGAUGUUAGCGGCGGACGGGUGAGUAACACGUGGAUAACCUACCUAUAAGACUGGGAUAACUUCGGGAAACCGGAGCUAAUACCGGAUAAUAUUUUGAACCGCAUGGUUCAAAAGUGAAAGACGGUCUUGCUGUCACUUAUAGAUGGAUCCGCGCUGCAUUAGCUAGUUGGUAAGGUAACGGCUUACCAAGGCAACGAUGCAUAGCCGACCUGAGAGGGUGAUCGGCCACACUGGAACUGGAACACGGUCCAGACUCCUACGGGAGGCAGCAGUAGGGAAUCUUCCGCAAUGGGCGAAAGCCUGACGGAGCAACGCCGCGUGAGUGAUGAAGGUCUUCGGAUCGUAAAACUCUGUUAUUAGGGAAGAACAUAUGUGUAAGUAACUGUGCGCAUCUUGACGGUACCUAAUCAGAAAGCCACGGCUAACUACGUG